GAAACGACUGCUAAGACUGGAUAGGAAAAGUAAAGGCAUCUUUACUUUUUUAAAAGACCUUCUUUGAAGGUAUGCUUAAGGAGGGGCUUGCGACACAUUAGUUAGUUGGCAGGGUAAAGGCCUACCAAGACUAUGAUGUGUAGCUGGACUGAGAGGUUGAACAGCCACAUUGGGACUGAGACACGGCCCAAACUCCUACGGGAGGCAGCAGUAGGGAAUUUUCGGCAAUGGAGGAAACUCUGACCGAGCAACGCCGCGUGAACGAUGAAGUACCUCGGUAUGUAAAGUUCUUUUAUUAAGGAAGAAAAAAGAGUGGAAAAACUCCCUUGACGGUACUUAAUGAAUAAGCCCCGGCUAAUUACGUGCCAGCAGCCGCGGUAAUACAUAAGGGGCGAGCGUUAUCCGGAAUUAUUGGGCGUAAAGGGUGCGUAGGCGGUUUAAUAAGUCUAUAGUUUAAUUUCAGUGCUUAACGCUGUUGUGCUAUAGAAACUGUUUUACUAGAGUGAGUUAGAGGCAAGCGGAAUUCCAUGUGUAGCGGUAAAAUGCGUAAAUAUAUGGAGGAACACCAGAGGCGUAGGCGGCUUGCUGGGACUUUACUGACGCUGAGGCACGAAAGCGUGGGGAGCAAACAGGAUUAGAUACCCUGGUAGUCCACGCCGUAAACGAUGAGUACUAAGUGUCGGGUAAAACCGGUACUGAAGUUAACACAUUAAGUACUCCGCCUGAGUAGUACGUACGCAAGUAUGAAACUUAAAGGAAUUGACGGGACUCCGCACAAGCGGUGGAUCAUGUUGUUUAAUUCGAAGAUACACGAAAAACCUUACCAGGUCUUGACAUUUUCUUGCGAAGUUAUAGAAAUAUAAUGGAGGUUAUCAGGAAAACAGGUGGUGCAUGGUUGUCGUCAGCUCGUGUCGUGAGAUGUUAGGUUAAGUCCUAAAACGAGCGCAACCCUUGUCGUUAAUUGCCAGCAUGUAAUGAUGGGGACUUUAACGAGACUGCCAAUGAAAAAUUGGAGGAAGGUGGGGAUUACGUCAAAUCAUCAUGCCCCUUAUGAUCUGGGCUACAAACGUGAUACAAUGGUUGAUACAAAGAGUAGCUGAAACGUGAGUUCUUAGCAAAUCUCACAAAAUCAAUCUCAGUUCGGAUUGAAGUCUGCAACUCGACUUCAUGAAGUUGGAAUCGCUAGUAAUCGCGAAUCAGCAUGUCGCGGUGAAUACGUUCUCGGGGUUUGUACACACCGCCCGUCA
This 1247-nucleotide ribosomal RNA is filed under the name Eggplant Giant Calyx phytoplasma. Its description in RNAcentral is "bacterial SSU rRNA". It matches the Rfam family "Bacterial small subunit ribosomal RNA", at positions 153 to 1399 of the family's 1533-position model. The record is from RNAcentral. Lineage: Bacteria; Bacillati; Mycoplasmatota; Mollicutes; Acholeplasmatales; Acholeplasmataceae.